UGGCUGUCGUCAGCUCGUGUCGUGAGAUGUUGGUUAAGUCCGUAACGAGCGCAACCCUUGUCCUUAGUUACCAGCACGUUAUGGUGGGCACUCUAAGGAGACUGCCGGUGACAAACCGGAGGAAGGUGGGGAUGACGUCAAGUCAUCAUGGCCCUUACGGCCUGGGCUACACACGUGCUACAAUGGUCGGUACAAAGGGUUGCCAAGCCGCGAGGUGGAGCUAAUCCCAUAAAACCGAUCGUAGUCCGGAUCGCAGUCUGCAACUCGACUGCGUGAAGUCGGAAUCGUUAGUAAUCGUGAGUCAGAAUGUCACGGUGAAUACGUUCCCGGGCCUU
This 335-nucleotide ribosomal RNA is filed under the name uncultured Pseudomonas sp. RNAcentral's name for it is "bacterial SSU rRNA". It matches the Rfam family "Bacterial small subunit ribosomal RNA", at positions 1046 to 1382 of the family's 1533-position model. Lineage: Bacteria; Pseudomonadati; Pseudomonadota; Gammaproteobacteria; Pseudomonadales; Pseudomonadaceae. The record is from RNAcentral.